RNAcentral lists this ribosomal RNA (469 nucleotides) under uncultured bacterium. RNAcentral describes it as "partial 16S ribosomal RNA". It matches the Rfam family "Bacterial small subunit ribosomal RNA", at positions 28 to 507 of the family's 1533-position model. The record is from RNAcentral.
GACGAACGCUGGCGGCGUGCUUAACACAUGCAAGUCGAACGAUGAAGCCUUAGCUUGCUUUGGUGGAUUAGUGGCGAACGGGUGAGUAACACGUGAGCAACGUGCCCAGGACUCUGGAAUAACCGCGGGAAACCGUGGCUAAUACCGGAUAGGUGCCGAGGCCGCAUGGUCUUCGGUUGGAAAGUUUUUGCGGUACUGGAUCGGCUCACGGCCUAUCAGCUUGUUGGUGGGGUAAUGGCCUACCAAGGCGACGACGGGUAGCCGGCCUGAGAGGGUGACCGGGCACACUGGGACUGAGACACGGCCCAGACUCCUACGGGAGGCAGCAGUGGGGAAUAUUGCACAAUGGGCGCAAGCCUGAUGCAGCAACGCCGCGUGGGGGAUGACGGCCUUCGGGUUGUAAACCUCUUUUAGUAGGGAAGAAGCGCAAGUGACGGUACCUGCAGAAAAAGCACCGGCUAACUACGUG